Molecule: long non-coding RNA, 2861 nt
Organism: Arabidopsis thaliana (thale cress)
Lineage: Eukaryota; Viridiplantae; Streptophyta; Magnoliopsida; Brassicales; Brassicaceae
Product: other RNA
Exons: 1
Source: RefSeq
UCAGAGACUUAAGCGGAUUCUCAAAUUUAGGGUUGCUUAUCAAUGAAAUACACUAUCAAAUCUCUCUCUAUUUCUAUCGCUUCUUCUCUUCUCAAUCUUUCACUUCUAAACAAUGUUAUGUUCUUUGUUGGGGAUUUGAACCUAGCAGCUUCUUCGUUUGUGUCUUUGGAGUUAUUUAAUCCAUCAUCUGUUGUUUUAGCGGUGAUUAGCAGGGAUAUAGAGUUCCUGAUUUGAGAUCUCGAUUAGCAGCAGCUCAAGACAUCUCCUUAGCUCAUGUUUAAGGAUGAUGGCGCUCCAAUUUAUUGAUCCCCUUUGGGUCGAUCUGAGUUUAUCUCACUUGAUUCGUGUUCCCAGAUCUAGCCUCUUAAGGACAGAGAUCGGUUUUCUCUGUUGUUGAUGUUCGAUUCGUCCUGCGGAGUUGCAAUCUUAUUGGUUCAAGUCAAGGAGAUUCUCGAUCUCAAGCUUGUUCGUCAAUCCUCUUGUUAGCGCCCUCUUCCGUUUUGAAAAGGGAAUGUAAAGGAUUUGGCCAUCACCAACAUCAGAGGAGGGAUGUUUGAUUGGGUACGCUCUCUAAAUCUUAACUUUUUUCUCUUAAGUGGCCACCCUUUUGUAAUCUCUAAAUUUUAAAACUUUUCUCUCAGUGAUUGGGUUUAAAUGGGAGUUUUGAAUCGCAUGUGUUGGUUGGUAUGGAGACGAGUAUGUAUUGAAUGCGUCUUUUACUUCAAAUUUUCCAAUUUAUAUCGUAUUUUGAAGAAUUGGGAUUGGGAAUGUUUUGCGAAUCAGGAGUUAUGUUAUAAAUUUUGGGUAUAGUUGCUUAAAUGGAGUUUUAUUUUGUGAAUUCAGAGAUCGUGACUGGGAAAAUAUGUUCAGUUUUCUGAUAUAUUCAAGAGAAGUGUUUACAAUGCUUUAAAUAGAUUACAAAAGAAUCUUUAAGAGGAUCCGAUAAAAUCAAAUCUACAACUAUAAAAAACUUGUGGAACAACCUUAACAACUUCUUGUUCCAAACUGCCUGCAUAUCUCGCUAAUACCCUCCCUCAAGUUGGAGCAUGGAGGUCUGUAAUGCCCAACUUGAAACAAAAACGAUAAAACUCUUGUCUUCCCAAUGGUUUAGUAAAAAUAUCAGCAAGCUGAGACUCACUCUUGACAUGUAGGAGACAAAUGUUUUUAGUUAUCACCUCUUCUCGGACAAAGUGGCAAUCGACCUCCACAUGUUUUGUGCGCUCAUGAAACACUGGGUUUGUUGCGAUAUGAAUGGCGGCUUUGCUAUCGCAGCGAACAUUCAUCGGUUGAUUGUGUUUGACUCCGAGCGCUGAAAGAAUUGUUUUUAACCAAAUCAAUUCUUGAGUCAAAUAUGCCAAUGCUCGGUAUUCUGCUUCUUCCGAGGAUCUACUCACUGUCUUUUGCUUUUUCGUCUUCCAUGAGAUAGGUGACCCUCCCAGCUAUAUGAAGUAUCCAGUUACGGAUUUUCUUGAUAGCCUGCAGCUUGCGUAGUCACUAUCACACCAUCCGGACAAUUGAAAAGGUGUGUCUGCUCGUAACAAUAUCCCCUGACCAGGAUUGUUUUUCAAAUAUCGAACCACCCGCAAGGCUGCUCCCCAAUGAUCUUCUCUCGGCUUUUGCAUAAACAGAGCAAGAAAGUGAAAAGAGAACGCUAAAUCGGGUCGAGUCACAGCCAAGUAUAUCAAUCUACCCACCAAUCUUCUAUAAGGUUCAGGGUUGUUUAAAAACGCGGACUUCGACAAUGACAAGUCAUUGUUUGUUUCCAAAGGAAACGCUACAGGUUUCGCACCAAGUAGUCCAACAUCUGAGAUAAUGUCCAAUGCGUACUUUCUUUAACAAAGAUACAUACCGGUAGAGUUUCUUGCUACUUCAAUUCCCAGGAAGUAUUUUAAUUGGCCUAAGUCCUUCAUGUGAAAGCACGACAACAAGUAAUCUUUAAAAUCAUUCAUGACCUUAAGUGAGAUCGUCGACAUACACUAAAACGUGAAGUGACUCUCCAUUUGCAUCCUUGGUGAACAAUGAAUAAUCAGAGAGAUUUUGCUCAAAUUCAAAUUUUUUAACGCCGUAGACAAUUUGGCAAACCAGGACCUCGGACUCUGCUUCAAUCCAUAAAUAGACUUUCGAAGUCUGCAUACCUUGUUCGGAUCGGUUGCUUUAAACCCUGAUGGUAGCUUCAUAUAAAUUUCUUCUUCAAGGUCGCCGUGAAGAAACACAUUGUAGACGUCCUUCUGGUGAACAUCCCACUUGUUCUUAACUGCCGUAUCUAAGAACAAUCUCACGGUUCCCAUUUUAGCUACCGGCGCAAAAGUUUAUCCAUAGUCUACUCCUUCAACUUGUUUGUUUCCAAGAGCAACCAGUUUGGCUUUAUGUCUCUCCAAGGUGCCAUCAGACUUGUAUUUGAUCUUGUAAACCCAUUUACAUCCUAUUGCCUUUUUCCCUUUAGGCAAAUCCUCUAUGGUCAACGAAUGAUUUCUUUCCUGAGAAUCAAUUUAUGAACCCAUUGCCCCUUUCAAUCUAUCGUCUUCCAUUGCCUUUUUAAACGAUUUUGCCUCUACGCCCUGAGUAAUUGCAACCAUGUAUGCUUUAUGUGACUCAGAGAAACGCUCACAGUCAACGUAAUUGGCAAUCAGAUACUCAGAUGUGGACUUGUUCUUCUUUGUUUUUGGAUUUCCAGUCUCAAUCACGAAUUCCUUCAAUUUUACUGAAUGUGUUCUCUGCCUCUUUCCUCGACCCAAUUGUUCAGUAGGAAACGAUUUCUUUGUUUGUACUUGCGGUGAUGUUAAUGGUGGAGGUCGUGACGUCGUCGAUCGUGGAAUCUCUGAGGAAGAAGAUGAUGGCAAGUUACGAAGAGGAACGUGACG